AUUCUAGAAAUGAUAGAGAUCUGAUCAGAUCACAGGGGAGAAGUAGCGAGGGGCUGUAGGAGAAGUUUGCCAAGGUAAUGGUCAACAGUGUAGGACAGGAUUGGCUGAGAAACUGAAUGCCUCCUGAGCACAUGGAAUUAUGGGCAAGAAGAUUUGAA
Molecule: long non-coding RNA, 158 nt
Organism: Phyllostomus discolor (pale spear-nosed bat)
Lineage: Eukaryota; Metazoa; Chordata; Mammalia; Chiroptera; Phyllostomidae
Exons: 3
Source: RefSeq, a predicted model, not a curated record